GGAAUAUUGGACAAUGGGCGAGAGCCUGAUCCAGCCAUGCCGCGUGCAGGAAGACUGCCCUAUGGGUUGUAAACUGCUUUUAUACGGGAAGAAACACCCCCUCGCGAGGGGGCUCGACGGCACCGUAAGAAUAGGGAUCGGCUGACUCGGUUCCAGCAGCCGCGGUAAUACGGAGGAUUCAAGCGUUAUCCGGAAUCAUUGGGUUUAAAGGGUCCGUAGGCGGGCAGCUAAGUCAGUGGUGAAAGUCUGCAGCUCAACUGUAGAAUUGCCAUUGAUACUGGUUGUCUUGAAUCAUUAUGAAGUGGUUAGAAUAUGUAGUGUAGCGGUGAAAUGCAUAGAUAUUACAUAGAAUACCAAUUGCGAAGGCAGAUCACUAAUAAUGUAUUGACGCUGAUGGACGAAAGCGUGGGGAGCG
Molecule: ribosomal RNA, 415 nt
Filed under: uncultured bacterium
Lineage: Bacteria
Description: bacterial SSU rRNA
Rfam family: Bacterial small subunit ribosomal RNA
Source: RNAcentral